CGCCGCGUGAGUGAAGAAGUAUUUCGGUAUGUAAAGCUCUAUCAGCAGGAAAGAAAUGACGGUACCUGACUAAGAAGCCCCGGCUAACUACGUGCCAGCAGCCGCGGUAAUACGUAGGGGGCAAGCGUUAUCCGGAUUUACUGGGUGUAAAGGGAGCGUAGACGGUUUUGCAAGUCUGAAGUGAAAGCCCGGGGCUUAACCCCGGGACUGCUUUGGAAACUGUAGGACUAGAGUGCAGGAGAGGUAAGUGGAAUUCCUAGUGUAGCGGUGAAAUGCGUAGAUAUUAGGAGGAACACCAGUGGCGAAGGCGGCUUACUGGACUGUAACUGACGUUGAGGCUCGAAAGCGUGGGGAGCAAACAGGAUUAGAUACCCUGGUAGUCUACGCCGUANACGAUGAUUACUAGGUGUUGGUGGGAUG
RNAcentral lists this ribosomal RNA (420 nucleotides) under uncultured bacterium. Its description in RNAcentral is "bacterial SSU rRNA". It matches the Rfam family "Bacterial small subunit ribosomal RNA", at positions 395 to 833 of the family's 1533-position model. The record is from RNAcentral.